CAGGGCUUCAGUCAGCAAAAGACUUUGCUUUCUGUUUGAUGAAAAUGUGAAAGACAGCAAAACUGCAUGCUAGUCAGCUGAGAUAUGAUGGCACGAAUGUGCUGUAUGUCCUCUGUAAUCCAAACUGGAUGGAGUAGGUGUAGAUGAGAAGCUGUCUUUACGGCGGGUAGCCGUGGUAGAAGAUUUCUUUGACAUUAUCUAUUCCAUGCAUGUUGAAACUGGGCCUAAUGGAGAACAAAUCAGAAAACAUGCUGGACAGAAGAGAACAUAUAAAGCAAUUCUCUAGGAAACCAAGCUCCACAGAUGGAGGAGUGAUGUGUGGCCUAGAGGAAUUAUCUGAGCAGCCAGGAGAAAGUGCAGAGGAUCCUCAGAGGGGUGGCUCUGCUUGCAUUUUUGUACAGCUCAGCAUCAGAGGAACUGCUUUGCUUUGAGAUAGUACAUUUCUCUCCAUGUCCUAAAGGUCUGUUUGGAUGCAUGUAGACAUCAGGCCCUGAGAUAUGAGGUACUGUACUGAACUGGAGACAGGGACACACAGGACAGAAAUGUUCAGGAGAAGAAUUGGUACAGCUUAAUGGGAAAGACAUGCAACAAACACAUGACUAGCUUCUCUGUGCCUUCGUUGAGAUACAUAUCUUGAUUUAAACCACUUAGCUGUAUAUGAAAUUUAAUUUCAAGUGUUGAGGGGUAUAUAGAGGGUGGGAGAAAGUGGGAAAAGUUAUUGCUUCAGGAACAGUGCAUUGCAAAAGUCACAAAGAACUCUUUGUAAUUUGGUGCAAACUGGGAGAAAAAAAGUUACCAUAUNCUUUCAGAUAGAAUAGAGGAUAGAAAAACAUUUUUUC
This 839-nucleotide long non-coding RNA is filed under the name Pavo cristatus (Indian peafowl). RNAcentral's name for it is "lncRNA (ENSPSTG00000011441.1)". Lineage: Eukaryota; Metazoa; Chordata; Aves; Galliformes; Phasianidae. The record is from RNAcentral.